AGACGGAGGUGGCAAACGCUAUUCGGAAUCACUGGGCUUAAAGGGCGUGUAGGCGGCCGAUCAAGUCGGGUGUGAAAUCCCUCGGCUCAACCGAGGAACUGCAUUCGAUACUGGUUAGCUAGAGUGCGAGAGGGGUGAGUGGAACUCCAGGUGUAGCGGUGAAAUGCGUAGAUAUCUGGAGGAACGCCGGUGGCGAAAGCGACUCACUGGCUCGCAACUGACGCUGAGGCGCGAACGCGUGGGUAGCGAACAGGAUUAGAAACCCCGGUAGUCC
Molecule: ribosomal RNA, 274 nt
Filed under: uncultured bacterium
Lineage: Bacteria
Description: partial 16S ribosomal RNA
Rfam family: Bacterial small subunit ribosomal RNA
Source: RNAcentral